Molecule: transfer RNA, 73 nt
Filed under: Ailuropoda melanoleuca (giant panda)
Lineage: Eukaryota; Metazoa; Chordata; Mammalia; Carnivora; Ursidae
Rfam family: tRNA
About the family: Transfer RNA (tRNA) molecules are approximately 80 nucleotides in length.
Source: Rfam by way of RNAcentral
ACCUGACUGGCUCAGCUGGUAGAGCAUGGGACUCUUGAUCUCGAGGUUAAGAGUUCAAGCUCCAUGUUGGGCA